Entelurus aequoreus (snake pipefish) is the source of this 1074-nucleotide long non-coding RNA. RefSeq lists it as uncharacterized. The transcript is spliced from 5 exons. The record is from RefSeq and is a predicted model, not a curated record. NCBI's taxonomy places the organism in Eukaryota, Metazoa, Chordata, Actinopteri, Syngnathiformes, Syngnathidae.
CCUACAAACAGCAGCUGGUUAGUACAAACUCCAUUUUGAGAGCAGCGCUUAGAGAGUUAAUCACAUCACUUAAAAGCAUUCUUCCUGGGUAAACUUCGACAAGACACAAUUUCUGUGCUUCCCACGAUGUUGGAAGAUACAUAAUUUCAAGCAGCUCCAGCUAUGAAUGCAGAAAAGGGCGUCGUCUCACGAGUCAAUGGGCCCAACAUUUCCCAGCAUGAAGAUACUUUUACAAGACGUGAUGUUGUGUACUCAAUGCGCUUUGACACUAUUUCCACAUUCACACACUGAUGGCGGGCGCUGCCAAGCAAACCACGACCCGUCAGGAGCAAGGGUGAAGUAUCUCGCUCAAGGACACAACGAACGUGACUAGGAUGGCAGAAGCUGGCACGGCUGCUCUACCAACCGAGUCACGCCGUCCCCCAAAACUGGCCUUGAGAAGUCAUGCUGUAAACACCACAGAGGGAGCCUUGCAGCACUGCAGCGAAAGACACUCUGAAAUCCCUUUCCUUCAAAGACACCUGGGAUGUUUUAACUCUGUUCCGUUACACAGAAUGGAGCGACAUCCAGGCUUAUGGACACACACGCACGCAUCCAUGGACUAUUACUACACAGUUACACACACAUACACCCCACCCUCAAUCCCUUUGCCGCGUCGACCAACACGGAGCAGCGCCUCUGUUUACUGCAGCUUUGGGCUGGAUACCCUCACCCCAAGGCAAGUAUUGAGUUUUGUGUCAUAAUAGGUGUUCAUAUCCUGUGUUUUUGUCCGAUUAUGAUUGUGAUGAAAAAUGUUGUUAUUCAAUGAUCUUGAAAAUUUUACGUAUCGGCAUUGAUUAUGACCAAUACUGCCCCUGUUUCUUCUGGAAUUGGAUUGAUACCCAAAAUUGAGAUAGAAACAUGUAACAACAGAACGUAAGUAAAGUAGCAAGUAGAUAAACAAUAGUUUUUACAAAAUAAUACCACCGGAAAUGACACUAAAAAUAUUUCAAAUUCCCCUUCCCCUCAAUGUUGUGUUUGCACAAUAUUACACCAACGCCUGUCCUAUAAUUUAGUAACUAUAGGAUGUUCUUU